This 668-nucleotide ribosomal RNA is filed under the name Bacillus subtilis. Its description in RNAcentral is "bacterial SSU rRNA". It matches the Rfam family "Bacterial small subunit ribosomal RNA", at positions 82 to 735 of the family's 1533-position model. Lineage: Bacteria; Bacillati; Bacillota; Bacilli; Caryophanales; Bacillaceae. The record is from RNAcentral.
CUCCCUGAUGUUAGCGGCGGACGGGUGAGUAACACGUGGGUAACCUGCCUGUAAGACUGGGAUAACUCCGGGAAACCGGGGCUAAUACCGGAUGGUUGUUUGAACCGCAUGGUUCAAACAUAAAAGGUGGCUUCGGCUACCACUUACAGAUGGACCCGCGGCGCAUUAGCUAGUUGGUGAGGUAACGGCUCACCAAGGCGACGAUGCGUAGCCGACCUGAGAGGGUGAUCGGCCACACUGGGACUGAGACACGGCCCAGACUCCUACGGGAGGCAGCAGUAGGGAAUCUUCCGCAAUGGACGAAAGUCUGACGGAGCAACGCCGCGUGAGUGAUGAAGGUUUUCGGAUCGUAAAGCUCUGUUGUUAGGGAAGAACAAGUACCGUUCGAAUAGGGCGGUACCUUGACGGUACCUAACCAGAAAGCCACGGCUAACUACGUGCCAGCAGCCGCGGUAAUACGUAGGUGGCAAGCGUUGUCCGGAAUUAUUGGGCGUAAAGGGCUCGCAGGCGGUUUCUUAAGUCUGAUGUGAAAGCCCCCGGCUCAACCGGGGAGGGUCAUUGGAAACUGGGGAACUUGAGUGCAGAAGAGGAGAGUGGAAUUCCACGUGUAGCGGUGAAAUGCGUAGAGAUGUGGAGGAACACCAGUGGCGAAGGCGACUCUCUGGUCU